RNAcentral lists this transfer RNA (58 nucleotides) under Apaloderma vittatum (bar-tailed trogon). It matches the Rfam family "tRNA", at positions 8 to 63 of the family's 71-position model. Rfam says of the family: Transfer RNA (tRNA) molecules are approximately 80 nucleotides in length. Their secondary structure includes four short double-helical elements and three loops (D, anti-codon, and T loops). Lineage: Eukaryota; Metazoa; Chordata; Aves; Trogoniformes; Trogonidae. The record is from Rfam by way of RNAcentral.
UAGCUCAGUCAGUUGAGCGUGGCGCUAGCAAUGCUAAGAUGGUGGGUUCGAUUCCCAU